AGAUUAAUAGCUUGGUGGUAGAACACAUGCUUAGCAUGCAUGAGGUCUGGGUUCAAUCCUCAGUAUCUC
Molecule: transfer RNA, 69 nt
Filed under: Camelus dromedarius (Arabian camel)
Lineage: Eukaryota; Metazoa; Chordata; Mammalia; Artiodactyla; Camelidae
Also listed under: 1 other name
Rfam family: tRNA
About the family: Transfer RNA (tRNA) molecules are approximately 80 nucleotides in length. Their secondary structure includes four short double-helical elements and three loops (D, anti-codon, and T loops).
Source: Rfam by way of RNAcentral